Molecule: long non-coding RNA, 1154 nt
Filed under: Capra hircus (goat)
Lineage: Eukaryota; Metazoa; Chordata; Mammalia; Artiodactyla; Bovidae
Description: lncRNA (ENSCHIG00010003246.1)
Source: RNAcentral
AUUUAACCCUUUCGUUGCCGGAGGGUCCUCCAGCCAGUCUUCCCCAGGCUUGACGGGGAGGGGGAGGGGACUUGGCCAAUCGCUAAUAUGGUCUGCACCCCUCACUUUCCAUCUGCUUCCAGCAUCUCUCCAGUUCUGGCAGGGGGCAUCAGUUACCUUCCCUCCAGUCCUGCCCCUGUCUGACGGGUGAGGAGGGAGGGAGCGUGGAGGAGUGUGCUGAGGACUGGGGGCCAGAGGACGGCGGCACCAGAAGGGUUACACCUCCCUACACCUUAAUCCCAGUCCCAGAGCCCCCCUUUCACGCAGCCUUGACCCCCUACCCUCUCAACCCUGCUGUUUUAAUUGGCAUGGAGGGGGCGUGGCCGUAUCCCGGGGUGGGGAGCACCGCCCCCCAACCUCCCAGAGCCACCUGGUUCUGCCCUGGGGAGUCAGGGUGCAAAGGCCAGACAGGCCUCCCACCAGCAUUCCAGCUGCCACUGGGAACACAGCUGUCAGCAGGGCCAAGAGAGCCAAAAGUCACCUCCCAACCAGGCCCACAUAAUUGGUACAUUGUCAGCUCAGAAACAGAGCUUCUCUGGGCUCUUGGGCAAGCCCCAGUCCUCUCUGGGCCUUGGUUUCUUCAUCUGGCUGCAGUGCAUUGGACUAGACGAUUUCCAAGGGCCCUCUCAGCUUGGAAUGUUGCCUGGGGAGUGACUGGGGGCGGCAGCUGUGGCAAGGUCCAGGCAGCUGUGGGUGGGCCUCAGGUAUCUGACCCAAGGAAUCUGGCCUCUGCCUCACCUGCUUGCCGGGGUCACAGCUGGGCCCUCUCCCACAUCUUUGCAGGAUGGCUGGGUGGACAGACAGAUGGACAAAGGUAUGAAGGAGAGCGGCAGGGGAGGAAGGGGGAAGGAGACCCUCAAGCAGUGCUCCAGGGGCUGAGCACCCCCUGUGGAGGGAGGAGGACAAAAGGUGGAGGGAGCCCCGCCCCCAGCCCUCCUGGCCUCCUUUGUUUACUGGACAAACUCCUGCUGCUUACUCUGCCCAACAGGGCAAUCUGUGGGGAAGACAAAGGUUGGACACACGCUUACCUGCGUGGGGUGAAUGCUGUGGUAUCAGUCUUGGGGGCCAGGGAGGAGACACCCAGCUCAGCUGUGGGAGUGAAGAAAGGCCUCUAG